Small nucleolar RNA from Haliotis rufescens (red abalone), 214 nucleotides. RefSeq annotates it as small nucleolar RNA SNORA73 family. The transcript has a single exon. The record is from RefSeq and is a predicted model, not a curated record. NCBI's taxonomy places the organism in Eukaryota, Metazoa, Mollusca, Gastropoda, Lepetellida, Haliotidae.
CCAAAGUUGACAUCCUAUGUUCAGGCCUAGCCUGUUACAAUGGAUGUCUGUGUGGCAGAUGGGAGCUGAGAGCCCCUUGGGUGUGAUGUAUAUUCCUUUUCCACAUCGUUGGAGAACAAACAAGUCCCCCAUUGUUUGUUGGGUGUGGGCUGGCUCCUGCAUAUUCCAUAGACACUGGCAGUGACAUGGGAGACAAAACAUGCACGGGACAUUU